CGGGGCUGGCGCCACGCCUGAGCCCACCACCACCACACCCCUCUUCCGGUCUCCCCUCCCCUGUUUCUCCUCUGCCCGAGCUUGCCAAAGAUCAUUUCUUUCCUUCCCUUCGCCGGCCGGCGCGUCUCCAGGCUCCAGGCUGCAGUCAGCGUACCACUGCAGUUGCUCUGCAGCUCCGCGUCGGCGUCGCCCAUGGAGCUCGCGGUCAGAGCCGCAGCGGCUUCGUGCUCCUCCUCCCCGUCGCUCCAUCCCCCGCGCGUCCCCUGCCGCCUUGGCCGCAGCCCAGGCCUGCCGCUGCCGGCUCGCCGGGUGGCCGUCGCAGCGGCGGCCAUCGCCCUCGACCCGGAGAUCAAAACUGAGCUGAAUGACGCUUCAAAAACAGAGGUGUUCGCAUGCCCUGUUUGCUAUGAACCGCUGAUAAGGACAGGGCCGCCAGGCAUGAACCUGCCAGCGAUUUAUAGGUCUGGAUUCAAGUGUUCAAAAUGCAACAAGUCAUUCACCAGCAAAGAUGUCUUCUUGGAUCUCACUAUCACCUCAGGAAUGAAAGAAUACAGUGAACUCAAGCCUGCUAGAACUGAGCUGUUCAGGAGCCCGCUCGUCUCCUUUCUUUACGAGAGGGGGUGGCGUCAGAACUUCAAUCGGAGUGGCUUCCCUGGCCGCGAUGAAGAGUUCCAAAUGGCUCAAGAUUAUUUCCAAUCAGUCGCUGGUGGUAUACUCGUUGAUGUCAGCUGUGGCAGUGGCUUGUUUUCAAGGAAGUUUGCAAGCUCUGGGGCAUAUUCAGCUGUGAUUGCUUUGGACUUUUCUGAGAAUAUGCUCCGCCAAUGCUAUGACUACAUCAAACAAGAAGAAACCCCUAUGAACACAAACCUCGCACUUGUAAGGGCUGAUAUUUCAAGGCUCCCCUUUGCUUCAUGUUCAAUUGAUGCCAUUCAUGCUGGAGCCGCUAUCCACUGUUGGCCAUCCCCUUCAAAUGCGAUAGCUGAAAUCAGCCGUGUGCUGAAGCCCGGCGGUGUCUUUGUGGCGACAACCUUCUUAUCCACCCCCACGAACAGUGGCCCGCUCUCUAUUGAUGCACUAAGGCCACUGAGACAGAUUGUUGGGCCAGUGAACAGCAGCUACAACUUCUUCACGGAAGGAGAGCUGGAAGACCUGUGCAGAUCCUGUGGCCUGAUCAACUACAGCAGCAAGGUGCAGAGGUCAUUCAUCAUGUUCUCCGGGCAAAAGCCGUAGCUGGGUAUCACAUCCAGACUUUCUUUGUAUAGCCAGCCACAGUGUAUAUAUAGUAUAGCUGUGCUUUUUUUUAACGCAUGUAUAUAUAUAGCUGUUACGGUUAAAUCAGGUGGUGGAAAUGUAACUCAAACACACGUUAGGCAAUUGAACCAAAAUGCAUGGUCUCCGACUCUGAUGAACAAUAGUAGCAUUUGUUCAAGUUCAGGCAUUGAGCAAAAGUUUUACACCUGAACAAUUGUGUUGUUUAUGCAAAAUAAAUAAAAUUUAAAGUAACUGCUGAACUAUAAGCCUUUUAUCGAUAACGACCUGAACGUCUAUUAAAAUCUUCAAGGGUACAGAUUCAAUUCCUUUCUAGAGAAGAUCAAGAGGGACGUAUCCUGGUUCCAAUUUUUUAGUUUUUUUUACAGAAUGAAUGAAAUCGAAGAAUAUCAGCGCAAGCAAUCAGACCGGCUGAGUGAGUGACAGGAUAUUGUCAUCAACCAAAAUUAUUCCCAGGAUCAACAACAAACCGCACCAUACAGCAGCAAGAAAGAAACUACCCUAGC
This 1775-nucleotide ribosomal RNA is filed under the name Triticum aestivum (bread wheat). RNAcentral's name for it is "partial small subunit ribosomal RNA". Lineage: Eukaryota; Viridiplantae; Streptophyta; Magnoliopsida; Poales; Poaceae. The record is from RNAcentral.